RNAcentral lists this ribosomal RNA (487 nucleotides) under uncultured Gammaproteobacteria bacterium. RNAcentral's name for it is "bacterial SSU rRNA". It matches the Rfam family "Bacterial small subunit ribosomal RNA", at positions 76 to 557 of the family's 1533-position model. Lineage: Bacteria; Pseudomonadati; Pseudomonadota; Gammaproteobacteria. The record is from RNAcentral.
AGCUUGUCCUUGGGUGACGAGUGGCGGACGGGUGAGUAAUGUCUGGGAAACUGCCUGAUGGAGGGGGAUAACUACUGGAAACGGUAGCUAAUACCGCAUAACGUCGCAAGACCAAAGAGGGGGACCUUCGGGCCUCUUGCCAUCAGAUGUGCCCAGAUGGGAUUAGCUAGUAGGUGGGGUAACGGCUCACCUAGGCGACGAUCCCUAGCUGGUCUGAGAGGAUGACCAGCCACACUGGAACUGAGACACGGUCCAGACUCCUACGGGAGGCAGCAGUGGGGAAUAUUGCACAAUGGGCGCAAGCCUGAUGCAGCCAUGCCGCGUGUAUGAAGAAGGCCUUCGGGUUGUAAAGUACUUUCAGCGGGGAGGAAGGCGAUAAGGUUAAUAACCUUGUCGAUUGACGUUACCCGCAGAAGAAGCACCGGCCUAACUCCGUGCCAGCAGCCGCGGUAAUACGGAGGGUGCAAGCGUUAAUCGGACUUACUGG